Molecule: unclassified non-coding RNA, 400 nt
Filed under: soil metagenome
Description: partial contains 5.8S ribosomal RNA, internal transcribed spacer 2, and large subunit ribosomal RNA
Rfam family: 5.8S ribosomal RNA (bases 1-122)
Source: RNAcentral
GAUGAAGAACGUAGCGAAAUGCGAUACUUGGUGUGAAUUGCAGAAUCCCGUGAACCAUCGAGUCUUUGAACGCAAGUUGCGCCUCAAGCCAUUAGGUUGAGGGCACGUCUGCCUGGGCGUCACAUAUCGUUGCCUGAUGCCAGUUUCCUCGUGAUGGGUGACUGUGCAGGGCGAAUGAUGGCUUCCCGUGAGCAUUGUUGCCUCAUGGUUGGUUGAAAAUUGAGUCCUUGGUAGGGUGCGCCGUGAUAGAUGGUGGUUGAGUGACGAACGAGACCCAAUCAUGUGAGACCCCUACCGAAUUUGGCCUUCAUGACCCACAUGCGUCUUUGGAACGCUCAUGACGAGACCUCAGGUCAGGCGGGGCUACCCGCUGAGUUUAAGCAUAUCAAUAAGCGGAGGA